Molecule: ribosomal RNA, 252 nt
Filed under: uncultured bacterium
Lineage: Bacteria
Description: partial 16S ribosomal RNA
Rfam family: Bacterial small subunit ribosomal RNA
Source: RNAcentral
AGCGAACGCUGGCGGCAGGCCUAAUACAUGCAAGUCGAACGGAUCCUUCGGGAUUAGUGGCGGACGGGUGAGUAACACGUGGGAACGUGCCCUUUGGUUCGGAACAACUCAGGGAAACUUGAGCUAAUACCGGAUAAGCCCUUGGGGAAAGAUUUAUACGCCAUUGGAGCGGCCCGCGUCUGAUUAGCUAGUUGGUGGGUAAAGGCCUACCAAGGCGACGAUCAGUAGCUGGUCUGAGAGGAGGUCAGCCAC